AGGCUGCAACUCGCCUGCAUGAAGUCGGAAUUGCUAGUAAUCGCAGAUCAGCAUGCUGCGGUGAAUACGUUCCCGGGCCUUGUACACACCGCCCGUCACACCAUGGGAGUCGGUAACACCCGAAGUCGGUAGCCUAACCGUAAGGAGGGCGCCGCCGAAGGUGGGAUUGAUGACUGGGGUGAAGUCGUAACAAGGUAUC
Molecule: ribosomal RNA, 199 nt
Filed under: uncultured bacterium
Lineage: Bacteria
Description: partial 16S ribosomal RNA
Rfam family: Bacterial small subunit ribosomal RNA
Source: RNAcentral